RNAcentral lists this ribosomal RNA (301 nucleotides) under uncultured bacterium. RNAcentral describes it as "partial 16S ribosomal RNA". It matches the Rfam family "Bacterial small subunit ribosomal RNA", at positions 509 to 807 of the family's 1533-position model. The record is from RNAcentral.
CAGCCGCCGCGGGAAUACGUAGGGUGCGAGCGUUAAUCGGAAUUACUGGGCGUAAAGCGUGCGCAGGCGGUUUUGUAAGACAGGCGUGAAAUCCCCAGGCUCAACCUGGGAAUGGCGCUUGUGACUGCAAAGCUAGAGUGCGGCAGAGGGGGAUGGAAUUCCGCGUGUAGCAGUGAAAUGCGUAGAUAUGCGGAGGAACACCGAUGGCGAAGGCAAUCCCCUGGGCCUGCACUGACGCUCAUGCAUGAAAGCGUGGGGAGCAAACAGGAUUAGAUACCCGAGUAGUCCCUGUCUCUUAUAC